CCUACGGGGGGCUGCAGUGGGGAAUAUUGCGCAAUGGAGGAAACUCUGACGCAGCGACGCCGCGUGCGGGAUGACGGCCUUCGGGUUGUAAACCGCUUUCAGCAGGGAAUAAGCGAAAGUGAAGGUACCUGCAGAAGAAGCACCGGCUAACUAUGUGCCAGCAGCCGCGGUAAUACAUAGGGUGCAAGCGUUGUCCGGAAUUAUUGGGCGUAAAGAGCUCGUAGGUGGUCGAUCACGUCGGAUGUGAAAAUCUGAGGCUUAACCUCAGACCUGCAUUCGAUACGGGUUGACUAGAGUGUGGUAGGGGAAACUGGAAUUCCUGGUGUAGCGGUGGAAUGCGCAGAUAUCAGGAGGAACACCGAUGGCGAAGGCAGGUUUCUGGGCCAUAACUGACACUGAGGAGCGAAAGCAUGGGGAGCGAACAGGAUUAGAUACCCGUGUAGUC
RNAcentral lists this ribosomal RNA (445 nucleotides) under uncultured bacterium. Its description in RNAcentral is "bacterial SSU rRNA". It matches the Rfam family "Bacterial small subunit ribosomal RNA", at positions 338 to 795 of the family's 1533-position model. The record is from RNAcentral.